Molecule: ribosomal RNA, 417 nt
Filed under: uncultured gold mine bacterium D32
Lineage: Bacteria
Description: bacterial SSU rRNA
Rfam family: Bacterial small subunit ribosomal RNA
Source: RNAcentral
GCCCUUAGAGUUUGAUCAUGGCUCAGAAUGAACGUUGGCGGCGUGGAUUAGGCAUGCAAGUCGAGCGAGAACCCGCAAGGGGGACAGCGGCGAACGGGGUAGGACAACGUAGGUAACGUACCCUCGGGGCGAGGACAGCCACGGGAAACUGUGGGUAAUACUCGAUAAUGUUCCCAAUCUUGAUUGGAGGGGAACCAAUGGGUGUGAUUCCACCUGAGGAGCGGCUUACGCAGUAUCAGCUUGUUGGUGAGGUAACGGCUCACCAGGGCGAUGACGCUUAGGGGAUGUGAGAGCAUGAUCCCCACCACUGGCACUGAGACACUGGCCAGACACCUACGGGUGGCUGCAGUCGAGAAUCUUCGGCAAUGGACGCAAGUCUGACCGAGCGACGCCGCGUGCGGGAUGAAGGCCCUCGGG